This 64-nucleotide transfer RNA is filed under the name Neomikiella lychnidis. RNAcentral describes it as "tRNA-Leu". The record is from RNAcentral. Lineage: Eukaryota; Metazoa; Arthropoda; Insecta; Diptera; Cecidomyiidae.
AUUAUCAUGACAGAAUAAAUGUAUUAAAUUUAGAAUUUAAUUAUAAUUGUUAAAUUUAUUAAUU